GAUGAACGCUAACGGCAGGCCUAACACAUGCAAGUCGAGGGGUAGUAUAGCAAUAUAUGAGACCGGCGCACGGGUGCGUAACGCGUAUGCAACCUACCUUUUACAGGGGAAUAGCCCAGAGAAAUUUGGAUUAAUGCCCCAUGGUAUAUUUGAGUGGCAUCACUUGAUUAUUAAAGUUCCAACGGUAAAAGAUGGGCAUG
Molecule: ribosomal RNA, 200 nt
Filed under: uncultured bacterium
Lineage: Bacteria
Description: partial 16S ribosomal RNA
Rfam family: Bacterial small subunit ribosomal RNA
Source: RNAcentral